RNAcentral lists this transfer RNA (58 nucleotides) under Dolichoris vasculosae. RNAcentral describes it as "tRNA-Arg". The record is from RNAcentral. Lineage: Eukaryota; Metazoa; Arthropoda; Insecta; Hymenoptera; Agaonidae.
AAAAAUGUAAAAUAUUUUAGUUUCGACCUAAAAAAAGAUAUAUAUUUAUCCAUUUUUA